UAACUCUCAGGUUCACCAUGUUC
Molecule: microRNA, 23 nt
Filed under: Oreochromis niloticus (Nile tilapia)
Lineage: Eukaryota; Metazoa; Chordata; Actinopteri; Cichliformes; Cichlidae
Description: oni-miR-10826
Source: miRBase by way of RNAcentral